CUUUAUUUUUAUAUGUGGUUGUAAGUGACGGAUUCUACUCCUUACAGAAAUAGUGACGACAUUCGUGACUAACAAUGAAGAAGUUGUUGACUCAACCUUGGAUCUAUUUGAAGCAAAAUCAACUGCGGUAUUGUAUUAUAUAAAGAUAUAUAUUUAUGUAUAUGCUAUAUGCAGCAAGGUACAAAAUGUGUGUACAUGAUUAUACUUUUUACAAUGCAUAGAGGAUGUUACUGAUGUGGAAACCCAGUGUUUGUUUAAGAGCUGUUUUGUAAAAAGAAAAUGUAGAACUGAAGGAAAAUGUGCGCUUAACCACAGGAGGUGUUUUCCUACGAGCGUUUAAAAUGCACAGCAGGAAAACUACACCCCCGUAACUUUCACGCAAUCUUUUUAUUUAUUUGUAACAAUGCUAAAGCACAACUGACCUUCAGGAGCAAGAACAAUUGAAAUAUGUCACUAGUAGUAGGGAUGUGGCUUUGCGUGGGUGUUUGUGGGUUGGUGGUGAGAGCUCACGGGUGCUCACGAUAAGGUUCAUUUUCAUUGCAGGUAAAAUCCAAAGACGUCCAUGGAGUGGGGAACAUUGGCAGGGCGACAGCGGUUUUCCUCUCCGCCAUAAUCCUAAUCCUGGUCCUGGUUUUCAGGAGAAGGUUCCUGCCGAAGAGGCCACUUGAACAUCCCCAAACCUCACCUGCUGAAAACGUUUAUGAAGUAUUAUGACGGGUCUCAACAUUAAGAGGAUGAGCGAGUCCAUAAGGCCUUCACGCUUGCUGAAUGUGUCUCCUCGUCUUUGCUGACUUGAUCCACCUCUUCAUCUUUGGAGGGAAAGCGUUUGAGAAUAAUGGGUCCCAGUGCUCUCAGAUAGCUGUGAAAAAAGACAAAUGUUUGUUAUGUGUG
This is a long non-coding RNA of Gasterosteus aculeatus aculeatus (three-spined stickleback), 891 nucleotides long. The record is from Ensembl. NCBI's taxonomy places the organism in Eukaryota, Metazoa, Chordata, Actinopteri, Perciformes, Gasterosteidae.